Trematomus bernacchii (emerald rockcod) is the source of this 298-nucleotide long non-coding RNA. RefSeq lists it as uncharacterized. NCBI's taxonomy places the organism in Eukaryota, Metazoa, Chordata, Actinopteri, Perciformes, Nototheniidae. The transcript is spliced from 3 exons. The record is from RefSeq and is a predicted model, not a curated record.
UCUUGCUCUUUGGCACGAAGGCCACUUCCGGGUUCCGUUUACGUGCUUUCUCCGCUGGCACCGACCCUUGCAGGGAUCCUGCAGCCCAUGUCUGCUGCCGCUGCUGAACGAAGCUCUCCUGCUGUGUGUCUUAACUUAGCCUGAUCGUUGCUGAGAGCCAAAGGUGUGUUGGCUCCCCCUGGUGUUGGUGUUCCUUCGUGUGUGAGUGUUUAGUGAUCACGGGUGCCCUCAUUUACUUUGUGGGGAUCCCUCUCACCCCUCGUCACCUCCAUCCACUGGUAAGCCUCAGCAUCCCUUA